Molecule: ribosomal RNA, 264 nt
Filed under: uncultured archaeon
Lineage: Archaea
Description: partial 16S ribosomal RNA
Rfam family: Archaeal small subunit ribosomal RNA
Source: RNAcentral
ACACGACUACAUUAGAUACCCGGGUAGUCCUAGCCGUAAACGAUACUCGCUAGGUGUCGGCCACGGUGCGACCGUUGUCGGUGCCGUAGGGAAGCCGUGAAGCGAGCCACCUGGGAAGUACGGCCGCAAGGCUGAAACUUAAGGAAUUGGCGGGGGAGCACAACAACGGGUGGAGCUUGCGGUUUAAUUGGAUUCAACGCCGGAAAUCUUACCGGGACCGACAGCAACAUGAAGGCCAAGCUGAAGACUUUGCCGGAUUAGCUG